UUCCGUGUAGCUCAGCUGAUAGAGCAUGGCACUUGCAAAGCCAGGGCUGUGGGUUCAAUUCCCACUGGGGACC
RNAcentral lists this transfer RNA (73 nucleotides) under Salmo salar (Atlantic salmon). It matches the Rfam family "tRNA". From Rfam's summary of the family: Transfer RNA (tRNA) molecules are approximately 80 nucleotides in length. Their secondary structure includes four short double-helical elements and three loops (D, anti-codon, and T loops). Further hydrogen bonds mediate the characteristic L-shaped molecular structure. tRNAs have two regions of fundamental functional importance: the anti-codon, which is responsible for specific mRNA codon recognition, and the 3' end, to which the tRNAs corresponding amino acid is attached (by aminoacyl-tRNA synthetases). tRNAs cope with the degeneracy of the genetic code in two manners: having more than one tRNA (with a specific anti-codon) for a particular amino acid; and 'wobble' base-pairing, i.e. permitting non-standard base-pairing at the 3rd anti-codon position. Lineage: Eukaryota; Metazoa; Chordata; Actinopteri; Salmoniformes; Salmonidae. The record is from Rfam by way of RNAcentral.